CAAUCACAAAUAACAUACAACAAUCAUUACAGGAAGUAUUGAAACUGACAAUAUAAAUGGUUGAAGAGGAGUUGAGUAGCUCCAGUAGAUUUGAUAGCUUCAAGAAGAGAAGAAAUACAAUCAGUAGACCUUUUGGUGACAAGAGAAGUGCCAAGUGUCCUCAAAGAGAGAUCAAGAUGGGCCAAACUCUACUUAAGUCACCACCUUGACACCCUUCCGUGAUGGUAAUGCCCUUCUUCCUCAGGUGCCCAUAUAAAUAAUGCCACCACUGCUCCUACCCUUACUCCGACAGCUAAUUCUGGAUUAUCUUCCACUCUCAGAUCUCUCCUAAACCAUACAAUACUGCAUCCCCCACCUAGCAUCCCUUAAAUGUUUGAAAAAAUGCCACAAAGAGCUAAAGCACUUUCUAUCUCAGCUACCUACAAGCCAUUAUUGAAGCUUCAUAUGGGUUUUAACUAGUCUUAUCCUUUCUGAGUGUUCAUCAAUUAACACUUCAGAUCAUCAGUGUUAAUGACUGCAUCUUUU
RNAcentral lists this long non-coding RNA (525 nucleotides) under Olea europaea subsp. europaea. Lineage: Eukaryota; Viridiplantae; Streptophyta; Magnoliopsida; Lamiales; Oleaceae. The record is from RNAcentral.